This 465-nucleotide ribosomal RNA is filed under the name Vreelandella stevensii. RNAcentral describes it as "partial 16S ribosomal RNA". It matches the Rfam family "Bacterial small subunit ribosomal RNA", at positions 338 to 795 of the family's 1533-position model. The record is from RNAcentral. Lineage: Bacteria; Pseudomonadati; Pseudomonadota; Gammaproteobacteria; Oceanospirillales; Halomonadaceae.
CCUACGGGGGGCAGCAGUGGGGAAUAUUGGACAAUGGGGGCAACCCUGAUCCAGCCAUGCCGCGUGUGUGAAGAAGGCCCUCGGGUUGUAAAGCACUUUCAGUGAGGAAGAACGCCUGGUGGUUAAUACCCAUCAGGAAAGACAUCACUCACAGAAGAAGCACCGGCUAACUCCGUGCCAGCAGCCGCGGUAAUACGGAGGGUGCGAGCGUUAAUCGGAAUUACUGGGCGUAAAGCGCGCGUAGGUGGCUUGAUAAGCCGGUUGUGAAAGCCCCGGGCUCAACCUGGGAACGGCAUCCGGAACUGUCAAGCUAGAGUGCAGGAGAGGAAGGUAGAAUUCCCGGUGUAGCGGUGAAAUGCGUAGAGAUCGGGCGGAAUACCAGUGGCGAAGGCGGCCUUCUGGACUGACACUGACACUGAGGUGCGAAAGCGUGGGUAGCAAACAGGAUUAGAUACCCCGGUAGUC